CAUUCCCAAACUUACUCCAUUUCAGAAUUAUAAUGAUUCAAGAACAAAAGUCUUCACAUACAGAAAAAUUUCCAGUCCUAGCCUCUCUCAGUUUCAGAUCUUAAUGUUACAUUGAGAACUUAAGAAUAUAAUUCUGACCACUUGAAAAGUUUAAGAAACUGUUGAAAAUCGCCAAAGCAUCAUGAUUCAUGAACCUGGAAGGACAAGAAAACAGCAGACUUGAAACCGCUUUGUUUCUCCCUAUCAUAAUGCUAGCGCCUUUAGCCUACAUGAUCUAUCUUAAAGAAUACCAACGGUUUUCUAGUCAUAUGAAGACUUCUGCUAUCCAGAUUUUUCCUAGGGUCCUCUAACAGCAUGAACACUAACGAAUUCUAAAAUAUAGAAAACGUGGUUUGCAGAGAUCUUUGAUGUACA
Arabidopsis thaliana (thale cress) is the source of this 414-nucleotide long non-coding RNA. RefSeq annotates it as other RNA. The record is from RefSeq. The transcript has a single exon. NCBI's taxonomy places the organism in Eukaryota, Viridiplantae, Streptophyta, Magnoliopsida, Brassicales, Brassicaceae.